CGGCAGAGAGCUCGAACACACAGAAAAAGAAAGAGAGAAAGAAGAAGAAGAAGAAAGAGGGUUUUGUGUAUUCUCGUCAUGGGAGCCUCGCCAAGUCGCAUUAACUACGUAACACAAUGCCCGAACGGAAUUUUGAAGUCGGGGGCGCAUUCUGAUACUGUAGCGAACAGUUCCUCGAUUAACGAUGACCGAUAUGGAUGUGGGGACUUUUAAGAGUUGGAUUUUGGGAGUUCUGAGGUUGCGUCCUUUGAGUGGAAGGACGGCCGUGUCAUCCCUCAUUCUUGAUGGUUUGGGGUGUGACAGUGAACACCUACAAUGAAAACGAAGAGCCUCAGGCUCAUUCUACUACAAAAAAGAAAACUUUUAACUAUUUACCUGCGCAAACAUGGAGGGCGCCUCAUGGAGAAAAAAGGCUCUACCGAUCACCAAAAUGACGAUAGUGGGGUGUAUCAGAUCCAGAAUGUUUUGUAAGGUCGUCAAUUCGUGCUGCGUGGCAGGCACCUCUCCGUGGAGAUUCGCGAUUGCGAAUAAACCCAGCGCCACUCUCCGACGAAAGAAAACUGUAGAUUGUCCAUUGUAAUAUCUAGGACUCCAGGUCAGUUAUUAUCGAACAUGGCGUAGUACCCGCCGACAAA
Molecule: long non-coding RNA, 635 nt
Organism: Eucalyptus grandis
Lineage: Eukaryota; Viridiplantae; Streptophyta; Magnoliopsida; Myrtales; Myrtaceae
Exons: 3
Source: RefSeq, a predicted model, not a curated record